This 84-nucleotide small RNA is filed under the name Arabidopsis thaliana (thale cress). RNAcentral describes it as "ATSL197520". Lineage: Eukaryota; Viridiplantae; Streptophyta; Magnoliopsida; Brassicales; Brassicaceae. The record is from RNAcentral.
UUUUUGGAGUCAAAUAUGACUAGAUGUCAUGUGUAUGAUUGAGUAUAAGAACUAGAACCGCAACCGAUUCCCAAAACCUAAAGU